Molecule: ribosomal RNA, 379 nt
Filed under: uncultured eukaryote
Lineage: Eukaryota
Description: partial 18S ribosomal RNA
Rfam family: Eukaryotic small subunit ribosomal RNA
Source: RNAcentral
CAAUAGCGUAUAUUAAAGUUGUUGCGGUUAAAAAGCUCGUAGUUGGAUUUCUGUUGAGGACGGCCGGUCCGCACUAUGUGCGUGUAUCUGGUUCGGCCUUGGCAUCCUCUUGAGGAACGUAUCUACGCUUGAUUGCGUGGAGCGGUAUUCAAGACUUUUACUUUGAGGAAAUUAGAGUGUUCACGGCAGGCAAGCGCCUUGAAUACAUUAGCAUGGAAUAAUAAUAUAGGAUCUUGGUUCUAUUUUGUUGGUUUCUAGAGCUAAGGUAAUGAUUAAUAGGGAUAAUUGGGGGCAUUUGUAUUAACGCGUCAGAGGUGGAAUUCUUGGAUUGCGUUACGACAAACUACUGCGAAAGCAUUUGCCAAGGAUGUUUNCAUUG